AGAUUGAACGCUGGCGGCAGGCCUAACACAUGCAAGUCGAGCGGCAGCACGGGUACUUGUACCUGGUGGCGAGCGGCGGACGGGUGAGUAAUGCCUAGGAAUCUGCCUGGUAGUGGGGGAUAACGCUCGGAAACGGACGCUAAUACCGCAUACGUCCUACGGGAGAAAGCAGGGGACCUUCGGGCCUUGCGCUAUCAGAUGAGCCUAGGUCGGAUUAGCUAGUUGGUGAGGUAAUGGCUCACCAAGGCGACGAUCCGUAACUGGUCUGAGAGGAUGAUCAGUCACACUGGAACUGAGACACGGUCCAGACUCCUACGGGAGCAGCAGGUGGGGAAUA
RNAcentral lists this ribosomal RNA (337 nucleotides) under uncultured soil bacterium. Its description in RNAcentral is "bacterial SSU rRNA". It matches the Rfam family "Bacterial small subunit ribosomal RNA", at positions 26 to 363 of the family's 1533-position model. The record is from RNAcentral.